Loxodonta africana (African savanna elephant) is the source of this 1850-nucleotide long non-coding RNA. RefSeq lists it as uncharacterized. The transcript is spliced from 3 exons. The record is from RefSeq and is a predicted model, not a curated record. Lineage: Eukaryota; Metazoa; Chordata; Mammalia; Proboscidea; Elephantidae.
GUGAAGGGCCUGCAAAGAGGGCACCAAGAGGAGGAAUAAACAAACAGUGAACGGGAGAGGAACUGGAGAUACAAAAAUGAAACUGAUCCCGAGCAGGUCAUAAACAAAGCAGUACCCACUAUAAAUAAAGAGUAAAAUUUACCAUAAACAGAAAGUGAAAUGAGCUAUGAACAGAGGGAUCUGGAGCAGUUAAAAACAUGAUCACAAAUCUCUUCCCCCUCCGCUGAGUAGAAGGAAGGGGAUCUGGGAGCACCUGGCCCCAAGGAAAAGGAGCCCUGGGAAGUGGGACACAAGGGACAAGAGCUCUCGGUUUUCUGAAGGGACACCACAUAGGCAUAUAGUUGAUGGUAUCUCCAAACAGCAAGAUGGAUGGAGUCCCAGGAAAUGGCCCAGAAGGAAAGAUUCAAGGAGCUGGGACCCACUCCAAACCUCAGGAAAGAGAACCUUGAGUGGGGUGAGAGGUGUGGAAAGGAGAGCACAGAAAAGGAAUCCCCAGCCACCCCAGCAAGACAAAAAUCCAGAAUUCUGGAGCUGACAGGAUUCCAAAUCCAAAGUGUGGCUGUGAGGGUGAGGGAAGAAAUGGGAACUACAAAACUUCUCAAGCCUUGCUAGCAUCAGGAGGAAGUCCAGAUGAAGCCAGACCUCAGAGCCAUAACCUGCUCCACCACUGCUCCCCCGACACACAAUUACUAUGCAUAGUGCACAGCUGGGUGAUUAAUGACCUGAUUAAUAAUUACUCAGGCUAAUAAAAUAAUUAAUUAAUUUGGCAAGCCAUUUUUUAUCUGUUCAUCCUCAGACUGGAACUCUGCAACUAGGAGUUUGGGAAUCUCCCCUCCAGGCUCUUUCAGAAAUGUGAUCAUUAAUAUGGGGAGGGAAGGGCAGAGGAUGACACUCCUUCACCCUGAGACCCUCCCAAAGUGGAGAGGAAAGGGGCCCAGGGCUCUCUGAGAAUGAAGACUUGGGAAGGACUGAAACAAACCGACCAGGUAACCUCAAACCCAGGAAGGAAGCUGACCAGGGAGGCAGAGGAUUGGGCUGGGGUAGGGGAGAUAGAGAGCACCACAAGCAACUUAGGCUAGGGGUCUGAGCUGCCGAGUACCCAGGUUUUGGGGAAUUCUUGGAUGUGUUCUCUCUAGCAAAUGAUUGAUGACGCUAUUUUCAACAAAUGGUCUUUAUCUCACCUCUUGUCUCCCAAAUUCAUGAUUUUCCCCCAAGCCCCAGGCUAGACAAGGGGGACCCAGUGAGUUCUGUAGUAGGGGUAGACCGAUUUGGGGAUGUAGCCCAGGAGUCAGUGGGGAGUCUCUGGACCUCUAUAGAGGGGAGAAGCCUUCCCCCAGCUGUUUCCAGGCUCUUGCAGUACUAAGUUCUGCAUCGGACUUAGAUUUGGAUCCCCAGAACCAGAGGAUCUGGAGUGUUCCCUCCCCACAGGAGGGAGGAAGAAGGAGGGUGGGGGAGAGGCAGAGGCCUGCCCGGAGAGUGAGGUGACUGAUCAGGCAGUCUUUAAACAGAUAAAGGCAGCCGUGCCAUGUUCCGGGCCCAGGGGCAGACAGGAGACACCCCUUCUCUGGAGGCAGGACCGUGUCUGGGACUAAGGCACCUGUCGGCCAUUAGCUAGGCUGACCUAUAUCGGGCUCUCAGUUAUCUGGGCUUGAGGUUAUCUGGUCAGCUUGUUUCAGUCCUUCCCAAGUCUUCAUUCUCAGAGAGCCCUCAGGCCCUUCCACUCCACCUUGGGAGGGUCUCAGGGUGAAGGAGUACCAAUCCCAGCCUUUCCCUCCCCCCUCAGACCUGGCCCUAGAGAACUCUAGUGCUAGAGGGAAAACGGACUUGUAAAUAGAGAACACCUCAGGAUA